RNAcentral lists this ribosomal RNA (1097 nucleotides) under Clostridioides difficile. RNAcentral describes it as "bacterial LSU rRNA". It matches the Rfam family "Bacterial large subunit ribosomal RNA", at positions 1116 to 2231 of the family's 2925-position model. Lineage: Bacteria; Bacillati; Bacillota; Clostridia; Peptostreptococcales; Peptostreptococcaceae. The record is from RNAcentral.
CACUCAUUCAAAGAGUGCGUAAUAGCUCACUGGUCGAGUGAUCCUGCGCCGAAGAUUUCCGGGGCUAAAACUUACUACCGAAGCUACGGCAUCAGUAAUGAUGGGUAGGGGAGCUUCCCAUACGGGUUGAAGCAUGACCGUAAGGACAUGUGGACAGUAUGGGAGUGAGAAUGUUGGCAUGAGUAGCGAGAUGUGGGUGAGAAUCCCACAGGCCGUAAACCCAAGGUUUCCAGGGGAAGGUUCGUCCGCCCUGGGUUAGUCGGGACCUAAGCUGAGGCCGAAAGGCGUAGGUGAUGGACAACAGGUUGAUAUUCCUGUACUACCGAUAACCGUUUGAGAGAAGGGAUGACACAGUAGGAUAAGCUAAGCACACUGUUGGUUAUGUGUGCCCAAGCAUUGAGGCAGUCAAAGUAGGCAAAUCCGCUUUGAUAAUGCUGGGAUGUGAUUGGGAGCGAAAUUUAGUAGCGAAGUAGCUGAUUUCACACUGUCAAGAAAAGUCUCUAUCGAGGUUAAAGGUACCCGUACCGCAAACCGACACAGGUGGGUGAGGAGAGUAUCCUAAGGCCAGCGAGAGAACUGUUGUUAAGGAACUCGGCAAAAUGACCCCGUAACUUAGGGAUAAGGGGUGCCACCAUCAGGUGGCCGCAGAGAAUAGGCCCAAGCGACUGUUUACCAAAAACAUAGGUUUCUGCUAAGUCGCAAGACGAUGUAUAGGAGCUGACGCCUGCCCGGUGCUGGAAGGUUAAGGGGAUCUGUUAGAGCAAUCGAAGCAGUGAACUUAAGCCCCAGUAAACGGCGGCCGUAACUAUAACGGUCCUAAGGUAGCGAAAUUCCUUGUCGGGUAAGUUCCGACCCGCACGAAAGGCGUAACGAUUUGGGCACUGUCUCAACAACUGACUCGGUGUAAUUGUAAUUCCGGUGAAGAUGCCGUAUACCUGCGUCAGUACGGAAAGACCCCAUGGAGCUUUACUGUAGCUUGACAUUGGGUCUUGGUACUACAUGUACAGGAUAGGUGGGAGGCUUUGAAACCAGGACGCCAGUUUUGGCGGAGCCAUCCUUGGGAUACCACCCUUGUAGUACUGGGACUCUAACCAUAG